Mytilus californianus (California mussel) is the source of this 169-nucleotide long non-coding RNA. RefSeq lists it as uncharacterized. The record is from RefSeq and is a predicted model, not a curated record. NCBI's taxonomy places the organism in Eukaryota, Metazoa, Mollusca, Bivalvia, Mytilida, Mytilidae. The transcript is spliced from 2 exons.
GGGAGUGUUAUGUCACACUCCGGAAAUUACGGAUCUGUCCGUCAUUAUGUCGAAUUUUAUUUUUGAUGUCUGCCACACGGCAAAGAUAAACAAACUUUUCUUUGGUAUUCAACCCUCCACAGGUUUUUUACCCUCUCUGGAGGUCUGCAAUAAAAGAUAGUAACUCAGG